RNAcentral lists this ribosomal RNA (393 nucleotides) under uncultured bacterium. Its description in RNAcentral is "partial 16S ribosomal RNA". It matches the Rfam family "Bacterial small subunit ribosomal RNA", at positions 523 to 918 of the family's 1533-position model. The record is from RNAcentral.
AUACGGAGGAUGCGAGCGUUAUCCGGAUUUAUUGGGUUUAAAGGGUGCGUAGGCUGUGCUGCAAGUCGGGGGUGAAAUAUCCGGGCUCAACCGGGAGGGUGCCUUCGAUACUGCAGUGCUGGAAUACUGUUGCCGCGGGAGGAAUGAGUAGUGUAGCGGUGAAAUGCAUAGAUAUUACUCAGAACACCGAUUGCGAAGGCAUCUCGCGAAGCAGUUAUUGACGCUGAGGCACGAAAGCGUGGGGAUCAAACAGGAUUAGAUACCCUGGUAGUCCACGCAGUAAACGAUGAUGACUAACCGCUGGUAUUUAGGUAUCAGUGGCCAAGCGAAAGCGAUAAGUCAUCCACCUGGGGAGUACGACCGCAAGGUUGAAACUCAAAGGAAUUGACGGGG